UACGGAGGAUCCGAGCGUUAUCCGGAUUUAUUGGGUUUAAAGGGUGCGUAGGUGGAUUGGUAAGUCAGUGGUGAAAGUUUGCAGCUUAACUGUAAAAUUGCCGUUGAAACUGCCGGUCUUGAGUGCAAAUGAGGUAGGCGGAAUGCGUCGUGUAGCGGUGAAAUGCUUAGAUAUGACGCAGAACUCCGAUUGCGAAGGCAGCUUACUGGGAUGCAACUGACGCCGAGGCACGAAAGCGUGGGUAUCAAACAGGAUUAGAUACCCU
RNAcentral lists this ribosomal RNA (265 nucleotides) under uncultured prokaryote. RNAcentral's name for it is "partial 16S ribosomal RNA". It matches the Rfam family "Bacterial small subunit ribosomal RNA", at positions 524 to 788 of the family's 1533-position model. The record is from RNAcentral.